UUCUGCAUUUAAUUGUUAAAAUUCUUCCUGUCAGGAAGGAGCUGGUUUCUUGCAAAAGUACAAAGCUCCCUCAUUCGAAUGUAGGUAACAAAAAUAAUGUCAUAUUCUAAACUUGGGAAAAGUCUUGCAUAUUUUUAUUGUUCCUCUUACAAAUUUGUACGUGUAGGUUAGGGUUAG
This is a long non-coding RNA of Octopus sinensis (East Asian common octopus), 177 nucleotides long. RefSeq lists it as uncharacterized. Lineage: Eukaryota; Metazoa; Mollusca; Cephalopoda; Octopoda; Octopodidae. The record is from RefSeq and is a predicted model, not a curated record. The transcript is spliced from 3 exons.